Molecule: long non-coding RNA, 1068 nt
Organism: Camelina sativa (false flax)
Lineage: Eukaryota; Viridiplantae; Streptophyta; Magnoliopsida; Brassicales; Brassicaceae
Source: RefSeq, a predicted model, not a curated record
UUUAAGAGUAUCGUUACCGUCGGAAGGAUUUCCAGAAACGCCUUAAGAACGAGGCGUGGCGUUACAUGAUUGGCUGGUAGGUAAAUAUAAAAUCGAUUUUUUUUUCUUCUCAUUUUUUUUUCUCCUUCCUCCCGACUCUCUCUCUCCCUUCUCUCUCGUUUCUGAAGGAGACAAAAACGGCGAUUGUUGAUGAAAUCGGAGAAAUCGGAUUCUCGUCGAAUCCUAUGAUUUUUCUCACUUAGAUCUUAUGGUUGGUUGUUUACCCGGAGGCGAUGGCAUCUAGAUCGGCGAAAUUGUUAGAUGCGACGGUUCGUUUGUCACGACAAACGACGGUGGAGGUUGCUAUAUGGUGGGACAAUGACGGCGGCUGUUUCUGGUGGUGCCCUGAAGCUAACGGCAAGGUCCAAAUCACAACUAAUCGAAGGGAGAAGGUUCGUUUCUCAUGUGUUUGUAAUUUGGCGAAAUCGUUAGAUGCGAUUGAUUGCAUGUGGUUGUAAUUAGGCUCGGGUGGUUGAUAAUUGGUAGAUUGGUUAAAUAUUUGUGUCGAUUUGACUUAUUAGGUGUAGAAUUUUAGGGUUUGUUUGAUGUUUGUGUCGAUUUGACUUUAUAGGUGUAGAUUAUGAGAUUAGUGUGGUUAAAUGUUUGUGUCGAUUUGUAUUGGUAGGUGUAGCAUAUGAGAUUAGUUUGUUGGAUUGCUUAAAUGUUUUGUUCUUAGUAAUCGAGUUGUUUUGUGCGAGUCUAGGGUUUGGUUAUAAGUUUUGUUCUUAAUAGCAUAUGUUAUUGUUUUGUGCGAGGUUUUCAUCAACUGGAUGUAGCGGUUCAAUGGUGACGUGAAGGGAAACAUGAAGUGGACACAACGGUUGUGUUUUCUCACUUGAAAAGGUUUUGCGACUUGUUGUUCUUGUAACUCGUUGUGACUUGUUGUCCUUUGUAACCCAUCAUCACGAGUUGUGACUUGUUGUCUUUUGUAACCCGUGAAUGGGUUUAGGUUUGGUUGUGUCUUUCGGAAGUCCUAUAUAUGACAAUGUUUUGUUCAACCUCAUUUGCUAUAUGUUCUUCUCAUUUGUA